GUUUCUGUAGUUGAAUUACAACGGUGGUUUUUCAAGUCACUAGUCUUGGUGAAAGUCCUGGUAGAAACU
RNAcentral lists this transfer RNA (69 nucleotides) under Johnius belangerii (Belanger's croaker). Its description in RNAcentral is "tRNA-Glu". It matches the Rfam family "tRNA". Rfam says of the family: Transfer RNA (tRNA) molecules are approximately 80 nucleotides in length. Their secondary structure includes four short double-helical elements and three loops (D, anti-codon, and T loops). Lineage: Eukaryota; Metazoa; Chordata; Actinopteri; Sciaenidae. The record is from RNAcentral.